This 584-nucleotide ribosomal RNA is filed under the name uncultured bacterium. Its description in RNAcentral is "partial 16S ribosomal RNA". It matches the Rfam family "Bacterial small subunit ribosomal RNA", at positions 355 to 937 of the family's 1533-position model. The record is from RNAcentral.
UGGGGAAUUUUGGACAAUGGGCGAAAGCCUGAUCCAGCAAUGCCGCGUGUGUGAAGAAGGCCUUCGGGUUGUAAAGCACUUUUGUCCGGAAAGAAAUCCUCUGGGUUAAUACCUCGGGGGGAUGACGGUACCGGAAGAAUAAGCACCGGCUAACUACGUGCCAGCAGCCGCGGUAAUACGUAGGGUGCAAGCGUUAAUCGGAAUUACUGGGCGUAAAGCGUGCGCAGGCGGUUUUGUAAGACGGAUGUGAAAUCCCCGGGCUUAACCUGGGAACUGCAUUCGUGACUGCAAGGCUAGAGUAUGGCAGAGGGGGGCAGAAUUCCACGUGUAGCAGUGAAAUGCGUAGAGAUGUGGAGGAAUACCGAUGGCGAAGGCAGCCCCCUGGGCCAAAUACUGACGCUCAUGCACGAAGCGUGGGGGAGCAAACAGGAUUAGAUACCCUGGUAGUCCACGCCUAAACGAUGUCAACUAGUUGUUGGGGAUUCAUUUCCUUAGUAACGUAGCUAACGCGUGAAGUUGACCGCCUGGGGAGUACGGUCGCAAGAUUAAAACUCAAAUGAAUUGACGGGGUCAUAGCUGUUUCC